This 423-nucleotide long non-coding RNA is filed under the name Helianthus annuus (common sunflower). Its description in RNAcentral is "hypothetical non coding rna". Lineage: Eukaryota; Viridiplantae; Streptophyta; Magnoliopsida; Asterales; Asteraceae. The record is from RNAcentral.
GAAAAUUUGACUCAAAACACACACAAGGUGUGUGUUCUGGUCGAUGUUUACACAUAGCAAGAAAGGGGUUCCUUCUUUUGAACCCUAAACUCACUAUUUGAUCAAAAUCAGAGGGAAAACAAGCUAGGAAUUUGGGGCUUUUACUAAAUUCGCGAUCACCAAGACAAGGGGGUUGUAAGGUAUGUCGAAAAUUAUGAUAUGUGUCCGAAGUCGGCUGAACUGUUUUGACAGCAAGCUGAUUGGAAGCAUUUUGACUUCUGAGCUGAUUUUGCGAAAAUCAUAAUAAAUUCUAGGAAGCUCGGAUUGAGCUGAUUCUUUUUGCGCUGGAAAGAUAUUUUAGUAUUCUACAUUUCAUCUUUGAUCACGAAAGGCUAAAUAAAACCGUAAAGUGGUUAAAAGAGUCGAUUCAGUAGCUACAUUGUA